GUGUCAGCAGCCGCGGUAAUACGGAGGGGGCUAGCGUUGUUCGGCAUUACUGGGCGUAAAGCGCACGUAGGCGGCUUAUCAAGUCAGGGGUGAAAUCCCGGAGCUUAACUCCGGAACUGCCUUUGAGACUGAUAGGCUUGAGUUCGGGAGAGGUAAGUGGAAUACCUAGUGUAGAGGUGAAAUUCGUAGAUAUUAGGUGGAACACCAGUGGCGAAGGCGACUUACUGGACCGAUACUGACGCUGAGGUGCGAAAGCGUGGGUAGCAAACAGGAUUAGAUACCCUGGUAGUCCACGCUGUAAACGAUGAGUGCUAGAUGUUGGGGGCCUUAGGCUUCCGGUGUCGCAGCUAACGCGUUAAGUUCUCCGCCUGGGGAGUACGGCCGCAAGGUUGAAACUCAAAUGAAUUGGCGGGG
Molecule: ribosomal RNA, 414 nt
Filed under: uncultured prokaryote
Description: bacterial SSU rRNA
Rfam family: Bacterial small subunit ribosomal RNA
Source: RNAcentral